AACCCACACGGGGAGCAGACCUCUCCUGUCUCCCCGCUGCUCCCCUCAGCAGUGUAGUUCAGUACAUCUGCCUGUUCUGCUCCCCGCUGUCUCUAGUGAAUCCUCACCCUCCCGCACCUCUGGCCUGUACCCCAGCUCUUGUAUAAAAAUAAAAUCUUUAAAAAAAUAAAAGUGGAGGCGCAGACUAGAAGUGGGAUUUUGAGAUUGAGGCCUAUUGUAGAGAAUCACAGUCUUUAACAAAUCAACCAAGUCACACUCUAGAAGUAACUGAAUUAACGGCAGUUAACAACUUCACAAAGGAGUGAACCCCUCCCCCAAAGAACAACAGUUUAUCGAUGUAAUUUCCGCCUUGGCAAGAAAGCAGCUCUCCUGCCAGCCCGUGGCUCUGCAGUGUCCCAGGCCUAAUCGCUCACCCCCCGCUUCCUCCCUGUGUCCCCAGUGAGCAGGAUCUCCCUUCACCUGCAGGGACAGGCCACUGAAAACUGGUGGACAGUGACCUCAGAACGCCCACAAAACAGGAUGGGGGCGGGGCUGCACAUGCGCAGAAGAAUCCAGACGCCCCUUCCGAGAGUCUGGGUGGAGCUGGGCGGCCUCCUGAGGCUACGUUUCCCACAGCCCUCGUGUUGCCUGCUGCUGGGAAGAAGGAGUUCCUCCCAGGACACAGUAUGUGGAGAAAUCACACCUGCAGUGGAGAAUAGUCUGUCAGUCACUGGAAGAGGGUAUUCAUCUGCUCCCACUACAGCCACAGGCAGAAGGACCUGGGACACAGAUGUCCUUUGUCACAGGAGAGAUUCAGUUCAUCCAACACCGCAUUCGAGAGAGAACCCGCACUACCUUCAUUCAACUUGGGCUACACCCCUAAUCAUGCCUCCCAACCAGCGAACCUGGCCGUUGACCUUACUUCUUGACCUCACCUCCCCACACUGCCCCACAUCAACAGGAAGUAGCCAGAAAACAUACUUUGCCCUUUAUCCUAUAACUAAGAGGUCAAAAUGUAAGGUUGAGGCCGGGGCAGAGACGGAGUUCAGAGUGGGAGAACUUGAAACUGCUGCCACCUGCAUUCCAGGAGCUGGUUCUGCCCAUCUUUGCAGGAGAGCCUGAUAAGCAGCGUUGAAAAAACAACCAGUUCCGAGAGAAAAAAACUUGGAAAAGCAACUUCAAAUCAGCAUUCUCCACCUCCCUCCAAGGCCAGACCCUGCCCUAUAAAAGCUUGCCUUUAUCCCCCAGUGGGUGCGAAUUCUCUGACCCUGCGGGGGUCGGUGAACUUAGUCCUGGGCACAAUAAAUUUCUUGCCUGUGAGAAACUUAGCCUGGCUCUCCUUUUCUUUACUGCACCAAUCCUCUCACCCACAAUC
Talpa occidentalis (Iberian mole) is the source of this 1354-nucleotide long non-coding RNA. RefSeq lists it as uncharacterized. The record is from RefSeq and is a predicted model, not a curated record. Lineage: Eukaryota; Metazoa; Chordata; Mammalia; Eulipotyphla; Talpidae. The transcript is spliced from 3 exons.